This 301-nucleotide ribosomal RNA is filed under the name uncultured bacterium. RNAcentral's name for it is "partial 16S ribosomal RNA". It matches the Rfam family "Bacterial small subunit ribosomal RNA", at positions 509 to 807 of the family's 1533-position model. The record is from RNAcentral.
CAGUAGCCGCGGUAAUACGAAGGGUGCAAGCGUUACUCGGAAUUACUGGGCGUAAGGCGUGCGUAGGUGGCGGUUUAAGUCCGUUGUGAAAGCCCUGGGCUCAACCUGGGAAUUGCAGUGGAUACUGGAUCACUAGAGUGUGGUAGAGGAUAGUGGAAUUUCCGGUGUAGCAGUGAAAUGCGUAGAGAUCGGAAGGAACAUCUGUGGCGAAGGCGACUAUCUGGGCCAACACUGACACUGAGGCACGAAAGCGUGGGGAGCAAACAGGAUUAGAUACCCCGGUAGUCCCUGUCUCUUAUAC